UUCAAAGGAAAUUAACGGGGGGCCCCGCACCAACGGGUGGAGCAUGGGGUUUAAUUUGAAGCGACGCGCAGAACCUAACCAACCUUUGACAUCCUGAUCGCGGUUACGAGAGAUCGUUUCCUUCAGUUCGGCUGGAUCAGUGACAGGUGCUGCAUGGCUGUCGUCAGCUCGUGUCGUGAGAUGUUCGGUUGGUUAAGUCCGGCAACGAGCGCAACCCAAAUCCCUAGUUGCCAGCAGUUCGGCUGGGCACUCUAUGGAAACUGCCCGUGAUAAGCGGGAGGAAGGUGUGGAUGACGUCAAGUCCUCAUGGCCCUUACGGGUUGGGCUACACACGUGCUACAAUGGUGUCUACAGAGAGUUAAUCUCAAAAAGACAUCUCAGUUCGGAUUGGGGUCUGCAACUCGACCCCAUGAAGUCGGAAUCGCUAGUAAUCGCGGAACAGCAUGCCGCGGUGAAUACGUUCCCGGGCCUUGUACACACCGCCCGUCACACCAUGGGAGUCGGGCCUACCCGACGGCCGUGCGCUAACCUUUCGAGGAGGCAGCGGACCACGGUAAGCUCAGCGACUGGGAAAGUCGUAACAAGGUAACC
This 591-nucleotide ribosomal RNA is filed under the name uncultured bacterium. RNAcentral's name for it is "bacterial SSU rRNA". It matches the Rfam family "Bacterial small subunit ribosomal RNA", at positions 900 to 1501 of the family's 1533-position model. The record is from RNAcentral.